CCGUGUUCGAAAAUUGACCGACAGUACUGUCAGCAAUCUUUCAUCUCUUUUGCGCUUGCAAGUUCACGAAUAGCUCUGACUCUGUCCUAGGGAAUUUUCAGUACUGUCAGUCAAUUUACGAACACGGCCUUUAUAGAGAUUGGGUGUGGCCAACGUGUAAUCAAUAUGGCGGCCACAGAAGAUUAAUUUUUUAUUAUUAGUUACCUGCAGUUAUUCAACGCGCACAAGUGCAGAUCGUUGUAAUUCCGAAUGGCGUGAUGCGUGGACAGUGUCAGUUCGUGAAAUUGAAUCAGCGGAAUGAGCGAUGAAAGGAGCUGAAUGAUGGAUGGGAUUUGCAGUACGGAGUUGCGUAUACCGAAAGUAUGGAAGAGCAGGUCAUUGUGUGGCAGGAGCUGUGGCAGACAGGAAAAUGGAAGUACUGAAAUGGCAGGUGGAAGAACAAGGUGUUGAUAUUGGCAUUAAGAAAAAGAACGGUUAAUAAUUGAAAUAAUUUUCUAGAACCGAGCAGUCUUGCGCUCUCGUUUCGAACCGUCUUUAUUCUUAGUAUGAAUACCAACGUUCUUCCACCAGCCACUUCAGUACCCCCAAGUUCUCAAUUUAUCAUCGACCCUGGCUUUUUAUUUGUAUAAGCAUCGGAGUAUAAGCAUCCUUAAUUUUUUCUUAGCGUUAACAUCGACGCUGGCUGAUAUAAAAGGAAGGCGUCGAUGUUAACGCCAAGAGAAAUUCAAAACGGAUAUAACUGCGUGACUGCUGCACACGAAACAUGGAAGGACUGAUGAAACGAUAAGAUGUCAUUUUCGCGCUGAGGAUGGUCGAAGAAUACUUCUGUGCAGCACCUUAUAUCGUAACCAUGUCUAUUCGAUACUCUGAUAGAUAUCAUUUUAAUCACCAUAAGGUUAUUCUAUGUGAGGCGAACCAGUAAAGUUAGCAAUUUUAAUGUUGUAAUCUUGCUUACCGAUUGUACACUGGGUUCGCAUUAUAAGACGAAUGAUUGGAAAACGCAAAUUAUAACAAGGUUACCUUCCUCUCGGUACUGCACAACUUUGUGCGAUAGAGGAAGAUUGCUGUUUUAUUGCACAGUGGAAAAACACAUUAAGACAGGCAAAUACCAGUAAACGGAUGAAACAGUGGGUUAAGUUUGGAAAUUUACAUUAAUAAUGUCUUAUUUAAAAGUAUGUAUAUCGAGCUUUGUUAAAAUAUAUUUUUCAUUAGAAUCAACGAAUAGGAAGCAUUGUUGUGGACAAAAACGUGAACCAGUUCGCUCUGUGACACAGUUUUUGGUGGCUACAAUAUUUGAAAUACGACUCAACCGAUUUACUUCAAAUAUGGAGACAGUAUUCUCGGAUGGUUAAUUUUCUUUGCCACGAUCUGACUUUUUUUUGUUACAUUAUUUUAUGGUUAAUUGAAUCAAAACGUGAUUUUAAGAUUAGAAACAGUAUGUCAGCUGCGAACGGUCGCUACGCUGUUUAAAAAAAAAAAAAUUGAAAUCAUGGCGUAUACGUUAUUGUGGAAAAUUGUAAAUAAAUAUAUAAAUGUGAAAUAUAUUUUUGUAUGUGAAUUGAA
Molecule: long non-coding RNA, 1563 nt
Organism: Neodiprion fabricii
Lineage: Eukaryota; Metazoa; Arthropoda; Insecta; Hymenoptera; Diprionidae
Exons: 2
Source: RefSeq, a predicted model, not a curated record